GAUCGGCGGGCGGGUGCGGGGAGCUUUUAUGUGGCGCGGUGGAGUGGUGGCGAUGGCGACGGCUACGGGCUACGUGUGUAGGAAUGUGUAUCUGCGCUACAUAGCAGAUAAAGUUCUUUUACUGUUUUAUAAUUUUGUUUCUGUUUUUUUAUUUUUGUUUAGUGCGCUGGCGCUGCUAGCUGCUUACUGUGUGUGCUGCUGCUGCUGGCUUUAGUGUUCGAUGGUUUUGGCUUCGUUAUUCGGCAAGCGACGACGACGACGACGACGACUCUGGGACCUAAAUGCUUCUGGAUCAAGGCACGAGGUGGAGUACGAAACACUUUGCUGGUUGAUCGUUUUACUCUGCCUGUUUUGUGCUGUGUGCUGUGUAAGCAACGACCAACCAACCAACGAACGAACGAACGCUUGCUCCCUAUCAUAAAUUCUUCAUUCUAUCAUUUAAUCGUGAACUUUUUAACUCAAAGGUUGCCCCGACUGAUCGACCGACGAAGACGACUGUGCAACGCAACAUACACUUAUUUACACUCGUUUCUGUUUCUGGCGUCCGUCGCGUCGCGUAGCGUCACGUUGCUUUGUGCUUGUCCUCCGUCUGUCAAUUCGUUGGUCGCGUCCCGUCGUCGCGUCGGUCGAUUUAUAAAAUUUAAUUCAUUUUUGUGUGUUGGUUCUUCUUUUUUUUUAAUUCUGUACGUUGUUCGAUUUUGUAUCUAUCUUCGAAUUCUUUUUGAUAACGGAACAAUCGGGCUGGCAAAGGCUGGGCGAGCCGAGUAGAGCAGUGCGGUGCGGGAUACCUACUUCUAUUUGAUAGUUGAUACAUUUUUUUUCUUUACCGAUUGAUGGGUGGCGGACGAACGACAUCGACAUCGACGUCGAUAUCGAAAUCGACAACGCAACGUCGAAAUGGACAUCACAUUGUGUGAUGUGAUGUGUGUUGUGUCAUUGAAACGCACAAAGAGGGCAUCAAAAAUCAAACUGAAAAACAUAAAAAAAAACGGACUUUGAAACGGAAACCGUUUGACUCUCUCUCUAUUUCGUGCUAAAAAGGAAGUGAAGAUUAGUAUAGCGUACCGUACCGUCCGAAUCGAAUCGACCGUCGGUCGCGUCGUCGUUUGUCGAAAAUUAAAAAAACAAAAAAAGUGCUGAUCGUGCUCUGCUUUUGCUUCUGCUAAAGCUGAAGCUGAUUGUGGGCAGUAAGUGAGUGGUUAUCAUUUCGCGGCACGGAUCGGCGGCCGUGGUGGCGGGCGGACAAUGUGUGUUGGAAGUGUUUUUUGUAGGUGAUGACUUUUUGCGGUCAACAAUUUGACGAUUAUGUGUGUUGUUAAUUUUUUUUUGUUCUUCUUUUUCUUUUUGUUUUCGCGAUUUGUGUUUCUUUGAGUAAAUACUUGACAUCGAUCAAACGGAUGUACUAAAGUCAUUUCCUCUUAAUCGCAAUCGUAGUAGGUACGGCAACAAGACGAAAAACAUAACAGAAAAAUUCCCAGCUCAGGAAAUGAGUGUGUUUUUUUCAGGAGAAAAAUACUCAACUUUAACUAUACUAACGAAACCGGUUUUCGAUUUGGUUUGACUGUUUUUUAUAAAGUGAGAUCAUUUUGAAAGCUGAUUUUGUCAAUGAAUUCAACAUUAAUCGACGAGAUCACCGAGCAACUUAUUUGCCAUAAAAAAGAGUAGACGUUUUACUACACUCUACAAACUACACGUCGUCGUCGAAUUUGAAGUCGCCCAUCCGGCACCAUUGCCUAUUAAACCAGCGAACGCCAACGCAUCCGUUUGAAGCAUUCCCACAUUUGACACAUUCCAAUGACAGUAGUUGUUGUUAUUUCUGCUGUAAGCUGAAAGCUGUCUGUGUUUUUCUUUUUUGAUUCAUUGCACAAGUUAUUUUGUUGUUUGUUUGUUUUUCUUCUUUCUCUUCCUCUGUAUAUAGGGCAACAAACACAUCAAGCAAACAUAGCGCAAAUAUACACAAAAUGCCAACAUUGUAGUCAGCCUUAGCCAGAGUCAGAGCCAGCCACAUUAUUGUCGUUGUCGUUCGUGUGCAGAGAGACGAUCAGUCAAAGGAGGAGGAGGAGAAGAGGUCCAAUAUAUAGAUGUCACUCGGGUCGGGCCAUAAGCGGAUACACAUAAACACUGGCCUACUUUUUAUGAACAACACUGUCACCGUAUCGUGGUUGUUUUUUUGUUUGUUUGUGGUGUACGUGUAAAAUAAUACAACAACAACAGAAAACUACGAUGAGAGUACAAAUGGAGGGAGGGGUGGGGGUACUAACUAACUACAACAUAAUAUUUCAACACACAACAAACGGAAGUUGAAAUUAUGUUCUUCCGGUUGUUGUUGGCUUCGAAUUUAUUAAUAAAACUGUUUUUGUUUAUUGUUUUCUCUUUUAGUUAUUCUCUUUUCUGUGUGUGUAGGUUUAAUGUGGAUGAAAUGAAUAAAUUAAGUUUUUUUUUAUA
Molecule: long non-coding RNA, 2445 nt
Organism: Eupeodes corollae
Lineage: Eukaryota; Metazoa; Arthropoda; Insecta; Diptera; Syrphidae
Exons: 2
Source: RefSeq, a predicted model, not a curated record